AGGAAUCAACCCAGCUUGCAAAAUUUGUCGGUUUAUUAAACACAUUUUCAUAUCUACAUGCAACCUUCUUCACCAUAAAACCAAAGCUCUAGCCUUGUUUUAUUCAAUCUUGAAAGAAACACACCUCUCUACUUUCUUCACAUGGCUUCCCACAACCUCAAAAUCCAUGAACAGUGCACUGUUGCUCCUCCCUCUGCGCCCCAAACAUCCCUCCCUCUCGUAUUCUUCGACCUGCUCUGGCUCAGGUUUCAUCCUGUAGAACGCAUCUUCUUCUAUUCCCUCCCAGUAACCCAUUCAAACCCAUCCGUUUUCUUCACCCAAGUUGUUCCAAAGCUCAAAACUUCACUCUCUCACACCCUCCAACACUUUUCCCCUCUCGCNGGCAACGUCCUGUGGCCCCAUGCUUCUCCANUCCCGGUCGUUCAGUACAACCCAGGCGANGCUNUUUCAGUGGUGCUUGCAGAAUCCGAAGCCGACUUCGACCAUGCGUUGGACAACGCUCCUAAAGACGCAUCAGAGUCACGUUGUUUGGUGCCCCACUUGGAAUCCUCGGAUUCUCAUGCCUCUGUUAUGGCUCUCCAAAUCACUCUGUUCCCUAACAGAGGGUUCGCCAUNGGAAUCACCACUCACCACGCCGUCCUUGANGGAAAAUCUUCAACUCUUUUCAUCAAAGCUUGGNCUUCUCUGUGNAAANCCANUGAUGAUNACUCUGNGUCAUCACCAUCUUUGGCUCCAGAAUUGGAGCCNUUCUUUGACAGAACAGUCAUCAAAACCCCAAGUGAGUUAGGGUUCNANUUANCANUCNNUNUGNNUGAGNNNNUAACCAAANNNUUCCCNAGUGAAAACAGUGACGGAAGAUGCUUGAAGCUUCUACCUUUCCCUCCAAGAUUGGAAGAUCAUGUUCGAGGGACAUUCGUGCUCACGGGAGCAGAUUUGGAAAGAUUAAAUAAUAGGGUGCUGUCCAAGUGGGACAGUGUAGACAUAGUUGAAGCAGAAUCAGACUCAAACUCAACGGUUUCUCCAAAACCAACCAAAUUGUCGACUUUUGUUCUAACUUGCGCUUAUACUUUUGUUUGCAUUGCCAAGGCCUGGCACGGAGUUGAGAAGGAGAAAAAUAAGUUUGCCAGUGGGUUCACUAUGGAUUGCAGGGCCAGGUUGGAGCCUCCAAUUCCUGAAAACUACUUUGGGAACUGUGUGUGGGGCAGUUUGGUGGAUGCGAAGCCAUCCGCAUUUAUAGAGGAAGAAGGAUUGGUUAUUAUUGCGAAAAGUACUCAUAGUAAAAUAAAAGAGAUGCUAGAUAAGGGUGUUUUUCAUGGGAUAGCUAAUGCGGCUCCUAGAUAUGCAGCUUUGGCAAAAGAGGGAGUUGAAAUGUUAGGAGUUGCAGGGUCUAACCGUUUUGGGGUUUAUGAGAAUGAUUUUGGUUGGGGAAAGCCUUCAAAGGUGGAGAUAGCAUCGGUGGAUAGAGCCCUAACAAUUGGAUUGGCAGAGAACAGAUAUGCGAAAGGCGGUGUUGAAAUUGGAAUUGUUCUGAAGAGACCAGUGAUGGAUCUUUUUGCCACUAUGUUUCGUGCAGGAUUGUCAGAUGAGUGAUUCAACACUGGAAUGGAACGUGUCAUUUUUUCAUCACAAAACCAAAUGUCUUGUGCAUUUGCUACAAAAAAAAUCUCUUUUAUUUUCUUGUUAAGUGAUAGACAUGAAGAAGGUGAAUACAUGGAUUUCCGGAGAUAGAGAGGAGAUACUAGUUCUUUAUUUAAAAUAAAAGUAAUUGUUCUUUAUUUAAAAUAGAAGUAGUUGUUCUCUGUUUAAAAUAGAAGUGAAAAUUUUUUAUAUAAUAUUUAUGAAAGGUUAUACAUAAUAGAUAUGAUGAAUAAUUUAUUUUCAAUAGAUAAAAUUGAUAAAUUAUAAAUUUUUUUUUAUGGUUAAAAGAAUUAUGAAGUGUAAUAUAAUUAUUAUUACUGCUAUUAUAAUUAGAAGUAAAACACAAAAUAGCUUACAUGUUUUACCUCUCAAACCCAAACACAGAGAAUCAGUGGGGAGAUCCGAUUAAGAUAUACACAGCCUAAGAACAUAGAGCAAUGCAGGGAUGCAGAGGUUAUGUUUCACGUAGAGUAGUCAAAAUAAGCUCAUAUAAAAGAACUUGUCCUUAGUCAACGUGGUUAGGGUUAAAAAAAAAUCUACAGAAUAAAAAAUAAUUAUUAAAAAAGCCUAUAGGGCGGAUACCUUUAAAGCUUAUGGAUUAAUAUGAGUCUUUCUUUUUAGAAUAAAAAAUAUAUAAUAUUAAACUUAUUAUCUUAACAUUUAAUAUAAUUAUAUACUAACAUUUACUAUAACUAUAUACUUAAACCUUAAACAAUGUAAAGAGUUGUUUCACAUACUUGAAUAUAACCAUAUACUUAAACCUGAAACAAUGUAAAGAAUUGUGUCACAUACUUGGUAAUACUAAAAACAUAUUCUCUCAUACUAAGUAUAUUAAUUUCUUACACUAACACAUGAUUAUAUCAAUGUACAAAAUUUAAUUUGCACCAUAUGAUAGACAUACAAAUUUAAUAUGCACAAGAAAUUUAAGAGCGUCCUAAUAGAAACAAGUAAAACAAAAAUAUCUUUAUACAUAAUUUUUGAGUAAAAUCUAUAGAAUAUUAAUUAUGAGUCAAACAAAUGUUCCAAUCUUAUUUCCAGCAAACAAAAAGUUAGGAUGCAGUUGAACCAGUGAAUUCGCUAUCGGUGUUCGCGGUGAGGCCAGAGCUUUUGUCUCGGCGUGCCCACCUUAACCUCCACGAAGUACUCUCGGAUGUUGAGGUCACGCUCGUUGUGCAACGACGACAUUUCCGAUCCAACUUGCCGUCGGUGAAGCGGUCAUGGUUCCGGUGCACAGCGGCGGCAAGAGAAAAUAGGAGGAGGGCGGGGGGUGAAGGUGAGGAGAAUCGAAACCUUAAACAUGUUGGAGUUGUUGGUUUUCGUUAAAGAGCGAGAAUCCUCAAAGAUAGUUAGUGAGAAGAAGGAUUUUCAGAUUUACGGUUAGCCCCAGCCUAACCCAACCUCAACCCAAAAGGGGCUUAGUUUUAACGGAAUUAGGGCCAACCCUGCAUGCAUCCAGUUACUGCAUGCAUAGUUACAAACAUCUAAGAUAAGUUAAAGUUUCACAAAAAACAUAAUGACAUUUAUGUACAUGUUUAGGUGUAUUUUCCUCUUUAUAUCUUCAUUCAUGCGUUCUCAAAUUCAUUGUCCUAAAUCCACGACAAUAUCUGGAAACAAACACAAAAUUUACUCACUUUGCUUAUCCUUAAAAAAACACAUUUCUUAUACACAACAUCAAUGAGCUCAAUUUUACAUUCUUCUACUUUUCAUUUUUUUUUUAUUUGUCCAACUUACUAAAAUAUUAGAUACUUGGAUUACUACAUAAAAAAUUAAAGUUAAAAUAUCCAUAGCUAGAUUUAGUUAUUGUUUGAACAUAAAAAAUAUUAGCAUAAUUUAUUAUUUAUACUAACCAUUAAAUAAUAUAUAAAGUAUAUCCUUCACUAUGUGAAAUGAAUAUUGCGAACUUAAAUGUAUUCUCUUUUUUUUGAAAGAUUAUUAUUGUUGUAAUUGUAUAAUCUUAUUAGGAGAAAUUGAGAAGGAUAUCUAGAGAGUUUAAUACUUGUUAUAAUUUGGAGAACUUUGUACUUGUGAUAUCUGUAGAGAUUGAUACUCAUAUUUGAAGAGUAACUUGUAAUACUUAGAAAGAUUAAACUCAUUAUAACUUAAAGAAAUUCAUACUUUUUACUAUUUAUAAGUGUUUGUUAGUAAAUUUCUUAGACAGAGUUAAGAAAAUGGGUGUAACUUAAUUGGAGGUGAACAUAUAUAAAUUAUGGUGAGUUAUUAUACUCCCUACUCUUAACAUUAAUUAUAUCUGUUGUAUUAUGUAUUUGCAAAAAAAAAGUGACAAAUAUUUACAAGUUCCCUCCCUUUAUGUUGUUGACUUACAUUAAUAUGAAAGAUAUGAAUGUUAAAAUAAGGAUGUUACAAAAGUAAAUCUCUAUUGUAAUUAAUAAUUACCUCAAAAAAUAUAUUUUAAAUAUAAUUUUUGCUUAAAAUUUUAUGCGAAAAUAUAAAGCAACCGGCUGAAAAUAUACAUGCAAAACAAACGUUUUAAAUUCAUGAUAGAAAACAUUAUAAAAUGUUAGAGGUUAAAAUUUGAUAACAAUAUUUUUCAAAUAGGUUUAAUUACCUAUUUAGUCCCCAAGUUGGUAGCUGAAUUUCUGUUUGGUACCCGGUUUUAGAAGUGAUUUAAUUAGGUCCCCAAGUUAUUGAUUUUGCUUUCAAUAGGUCCCUUCCAUUACGUACCUUGUUACGGUGUUAAAUGUUGAGUGAUCUGUCAACUGAAUUAUGUGUUGUGGCAAUGAGGUGGCCCAUUUUAUUGAACGUGGUAGACAAUGAAUAACCCAAUUAUUGACGUGUGUUAUCAGAAUUUGGGGUUUUUUAAAAUUAGGGUUUUUUAAUCAGAAUUUGGGGUUUUUGACAUUUGGGUGUUUUAUCAGAAAGUGUGAUUCUGGAAGGUUCGAGUAGAGGUUUCCAGGAUUGGUGUUCUCGAUCCAGACUAUGGAGCGAAUAGGGUUCAUGAAGGCUACUUUUGAGGGAAAAGGUUUUAGAGUGGUAUUUGUUCGAAGCAAAAAGGGCGAAAAGGUGCGCAUGUUUACUUGUUUUUCUGUCCCCUACCAUGUUGUGUUGUGGUCCCCCUUUUGUGUGUUCUGCGUACCGUUUAAUGCUUUCUUUUUGGAUUGUUCCCUUUGUUUAAUGUUUUCUUUUUUGUUGUGGUUACUGUUUGUAUGGUUUGGUCCCCUUAGGAAGUACUAUUUUGUCUUUUGUUUUGUGGGAUGUGUGGUUGUUUUUUAAGGUGUGGGUCAUGCACAUGCAUUUAAGCUUUUAAGACAAAAUGGAAUGUUGUGGGUUGUGGGUGUAGGUGAAAGAGUUAUUGCUAGUGAUAAAGUUAAAUUUUGUUUGCCUACACGUGUAAUACUUAUUAGUAACGUGGCAUGUUUACUAUGAAUGUAGUAUGACAGUUACUUUUGUGUGUAGGCUUAAAAAUAGUUGAGAAUAAUAGAAAAUGUCAAACUGUGGUGUAGAGGUGGUGUUUCACCAUGGGGGAAAGUUUUGGAAUGAUGGGUCAUUCAAAUACCAUGGAGGUCAAACAAGUACCUUGGUCAUAGACAUAGAUAGAUGGAGUUAUUUUGAAAUCUUGGCCAUACUGAAGGAGAUGGGAUAUAGAAAUGUUAAGGAGUUGUGGUAUUCCCUAGGUGGUCCUGUAUUAGAAGAAAGGUUGGAGUUGUUAAGUGAUGAUAAGGGAGCAAUGCAUGUGGUGAACAUUGCGUUAUUGAAUGGGUCAGCUCAUUUGUUUGUGGUUCACAUGGUGUCCGAUCCUGAUUAUAUUCUUGAGUUGGAAAAUGAUGUUGGUAAGCAUGGUGAGGAUGGUGAAGAAAUAGGUAAAGAUGGACAAGUGGGUGAAAAAGAAGGUGUUGAGGUAGAAGAAGCUGAAGUUGGUAGUGGUGUAGGGGAAGAUGUAGUUGGUGGUGAACAAAAUGUCGAGGAGGAUGGUGGAGAAGAUGGUAAAGGUGAUGGUGGUGAAGAAGUUGAAGUUGGUGGUGAAGAAACUGAAGUUGGUUAUGGUGUAGGGGAAGAUGUAGUUGUUGGUGAACAAAUUGUCGAGGAGGAUGGUGGAGAAGAUGGUAAAGCUGAUGAUGGUGAAGAAGUUGAAGUUGGUGGUGAAGAAGCUGAAGUUGGUUGUGGUGUAGGGGAAGAAGGUGAUGAUGAUAGUGAAGAUGUUGAAGAUGUAGUUGGUGGUGAUGAUGAUAGUGAAGAUGAUUUGGUGGAUGUUUUUGUGAAUGCAGAUGAAGAAGUCGAAGAGGAGGAUGUUGAUAGUGAAGAUGAGAUGGUGAAUGUUGGUACACGAAGUGGAAGUAGGAAGUCAAAGUUGCAUGCCCAUGCUAGGGGCUUAUCAGAUAGUGAGUGGGAAUCUGAUGAAUGUGGUAGUAUUGAUGAAAGUGAUGAUGAUUCAAGGAAUGAAACACCCCGAUAUGGAGAUUUUGGGGUAUUCUCAAAGCCAAGUAAUAUGAAAGAAUAUAAGUGGCUGGUGGGGACAUACUUCCCUGAAAAAACUGAUUUCAUUGAUGCAAUUAGGACAUAUGGAAUACAUAAUGGUAGAAAGUUGAAGAUUUCUAAAAAUGACAAGAGAAGAAUAUGUGUUAAAUGUUAUGGAUCACAAGGGAAGUGUCCUUGGUAUGCAUAUUGUUCCUAUAGGAGUAUUCAAACUACAUGGCAACUAAGGAAGAUAAUUGAUAAACAUACAUGUAGUAGGGAAUUCAACAUUGGUCUAGUUACCAAGAAAUAGUUAAGUGGGAAAUUAGAGAAGACCAUGAAAGCAAAUCCAGAAAUCAAUCUGAGAAAUCUGCAUAGUAAGUUUUCAAAAAAAUGGAAUAUUGGUGUGUCUAGGUCUACAACAACCAAGGCAAAAGCCAUGGCUACUGCCAACAUUGAAGGUUGUUUCAAACUGCAGUAUGAAAGACUAUAUGAUUAUGCACAUGAAUUACUGAGAUCAAACCCUGNAUCAACANUGAUANUAAAAGUUGGACGAAAUNGGGAUAAUGUUAUAUUCAACAGAAUUUAUGUGUGUUUCAAAGCAUGUAAAGACAGCUUUGUCUGUUGUCGCCCUAUCAUACAUUUGGAUGGUUGUUUUUUAAAAGGCAAGUAUGGAGGUGAGUUUUUAACUGUCGUUGCAAGAGAUGGUAAUGAUCAGAUGUGUCCAUUAGCCUAUGCUGUUGUUGAAGUACAAAAUAAGGAGACAUGGACUUGGUUUUUAGAAUUGUUAAUUGAUGAUCUUGGAGGAGGAGGAUUUUGUUCAAGGUGCACAUUUAUGUCAGAUCAACAGAAAGUAAGUAUUUCUUUGUUCAUUUCGUUCAUUGCUUUUUUCAGCAUGCCAAUUUAAGACUCUGAUUGGUGUCAUAGGGACUUAUGCAAGCUUUCCAGCAAUUGCUGCCUGGUGUGGACCAAAGUUUCUGUGUAAGGCACUUGUAUUCCAAUUUUCGAAAGAAAUUUCCUGGCAUAAUUUUGAGACAAUUAGUGUGGAAGGCAGCAGCAGCUUCACACCCCCAAGCAUGGGAAACGAUCAUGAGACAAAUCAAGGAUGUCAACGAAGACGCCUUUAAACACUUGAUGAGUAUUGCACCAAGGUAAGUGCAUCAAUUCUUUAAAAAGUUUAAGGUUUCUUUAUGUAACAAAUACUUAUGUUCAAUGUUCUUUGCAGGUUUUGGUCUAGGUCAAGGUUUUCAGGAAGACCUUCAUGUGACACAGUUGUGAAUAACAUCUCUGAAGCUUUUAACAGCGUCAUUGUAGAUGCAAGGGGGAAACCUAUUAUAACAAUGUUGGAAGACAUUCGCAGCUACCUAAUGAAGAGGUGGGCAUCCAACAGACAGAAGAUAACUAAGUAUGAAGGUUCCAUUUGCCCCAAAAUUCAAAAGAGACUUCAUAAGGAGCUACAGAAGACACAAUAUUGGAUACCUAAGUAAGUGAAAUUUAACAUACACACAUGAUUUCAAACUAUUUUGCUUGUUGUUAUAAAGUUCUUUGCUUCUUUAUGUUGCUUUCGCAGUUGGUCAGGGCUGCAAGUAUUUGAGAUCCAGCAUACCUCCAAUAUUACAGAAAAGUAUGUGGUUGAUGUAGACAAAAAAGAUUGUAGCUGCAGGAAGUGGCUUCUCAUAGGGAUACCUUGCUGCCAUGCACUCACAGCUAUGAGGUUUUUAAACCUGACUCCAGAAGACUUCAUACCAAAUUGGUUUAAGACCACCACUUAUGAAGAAACUUACAAUCCAAUAAUUUUCCCUGUCAAUGGACCUGACCUAUGGCAAAGAACAGCCUAUCCUGAUAUUUUGCCUCCUCCUAAUAGGNUCUUNCCANGUAGACCAAGAAAAAAGAGAAGACUCGAGAGUUGGGAGCAAAUGAGGGAUGACACUCAACUUNGACAAGCUGGAAUCCCAAAGAGAUGUGGCAUUUGUAGGCAAUUAGGACAUAGAAGAACUAAUUGCCCUCAAGCAAGUCAACAUCAACACGAUCAACCUACAGCAAACCCCACUCAAGGAAGUGAACAACAAGACCAACAACCUGCACAAGAUGCCACUCAAGGAACUCAACAAGAAGACCACCAACCUACACCACCUGCCACUCAAGGAAGUCAAAUUACUCAUGAUGACACUUCAAGACCAGUUUAGAUAUUGGUCACAAAUUUGUUGCAUUUUGGAUAUGUAUGACUCAAGGAAUAUGUAUUUUGAAUAUUUACUUUAUCGUUUAAGAACUUGAAACUAUCAUUUAUAUGUAUUUUCAAUAUGUACUUGGAAGUCUAUGAUGUAUUUACCAGCUACAAGUUUGUGAUGUAUUUUGGAAGACCAAUAUAUGAAAUUGCUAUCUAAUUGUGUUGUCAAUUCCCUCUGCAAUUUUGUUGCAGAAUUUCAUUUAUGUUUUCCAUUUCAUCCAUUUGACCUUUAUUCUAAGCUUUGAUGGUCUGAAUGAUGAGAAAUAUGACAGAAUGGAGAGGUUAUGUGUCAAUUUUCAUGUAACUAUGAUUUUGAGAUAAUUUUUAGUUUAAACAAGUCUUAAUUGUUGUUUUAAAACUGCUAUAACAGUCCAGUUCGGGUCACAUGCAUUUAUAUGCAAUUUAGCAUGUGAAACCAUCUUAUUUGAUCAAUUUUUGGAACUUCGAAGUUGAUUUUUAGUUGCAGUAAUUUCCAGUCAAGUUUAAUCCUUUGUACUGGUUUAUUGGACCAUUUACAAUGUGUAUGCAAUGUUAGAUUGUUGUUUUCCUUGGCCUUUAUGCAAAAUCACAGUUUCACCUUUCAAAUUUUACUCAAAUUGGAACUCAAUCAGUCAAAUUUUGAUUUGAACAUUAUUGUGUCUGUUUGAUGAGUUCCACGUGUUCCAUUUCAUGACACAAACUUGUUUCAAGUGUCAUUUUACCAUUUCAAUCACUGAAAUUCAUCUUAGCCACUGCAAAAUUGGCUACUGCACAAUUGCCUACUGCAGUUCCAUUUUUUAUUGCCACUGCAGUUCUUUUUUUUGUUGACAAUAUUCUUAAGGCAAUUCCACUUUUAAACCCCUGCAUUCCAGUUUUACAUUAAGUUCCAAUCUGUUUCUGCAAAGUGUCUAUGAAGUUUCAGAUUUAACCAACAACAAUCAGCUAUCACAGCAUCACUGAAUACAAUCUCAUAAUAACAACAAACACUAUAUACCAAUAACAACUUCUUCUUCAUUAAAUAUAACUUUUUCAUUACAAUAAUAUUCUGCAUUAAAAUAAAAGACAUACAAACAUGAUGUUCAUAAACCCCAUGAAACAUAAAAACCCCAAAUACACCUUCUCCCUUUUCUGAUAAACUAAAACUGAUUUUUCCAAAGUAAGAAUCUUUCUCCUUUGCCAUCUAAUUGUACUAUCCCUUUCAUCCAUAUAAUCACCAUUGCGCCAUUUGAAGUAAUCACAACCUCGCACUUCUUCGUUUCGAGUACGUUGUUCCAAACAUCCAACCAAAACGAUGUCAGGAUACACCAAAGUAAUCCACCCUAAAAUCAAUAAAAACACAACCAAGGAAUGUUACCUUGUAAUUAGGGCAGCCCCAAAAAUAUCUGCCCUCAUUCUUAGCAGUUUUUGUCACUCUUAAUAUGGCAACCUCUCCACAAUAGCACACAUGGCUGCCACCCGUUCCUCUUCAUGAACCACCACACGAGGUCCCCCAUGAGCAAGACGAACACUGAUUCAUUGACAUUGGGUGAAGGAAGGAUGCAAUAAACAAAAAAACAACGUAGGGUCAACUCAAGUAUUUAUAGCAGUAAACAAAAAAAUAUUAUUGCAUUUAUACCGUGAUAACUCCCUCCACACAUGUGUAAACUCAAGUAUAAACACCACAUGGUUAGUUGUUCAGUAUCAUAAACAACGUAGGGUCAACCUCACAGAACUGGUAAUGUGCAAUAAAUAUAAUAAAUAUACUAACAUGUGGAAAAAAACAAAAACUAGAAAUGUGGAAAUGUUCGCCUUCUGGAAGGAAAACGAAAUACGACAUCAAGACACAGGUCAACUUUAGCUUGUAGGACCACUCCUUUCAGAGAAUCCUAUCAAAAGAGGUAAGGUUAUUAUUACCAAAAUAAAAUAGCAAGGAAUAUAGUUUUCUAAAAUUAACAUAUAAUAUUAUUAUUAUUUUUUAUUUAACCAAUACUAUUUGUAGCUGUUGUCAAUUUUUCCUGCCUGCCUGUCUUCGGGAACAAGUUGCAUAGCAACAGCAAAUUUUAAUCAUCCCUUACGUCAUUGUAAGUUAAGAAUUAAAUAUAAACAUUAUUUAUUCCAUUUUUCUGUUUUCCUUUUUAUCAUAUCACUUAUUGGUUUUAGUAAAUAAUGUACAUAAUUAAUAUAGUAAAAUAUAAAAUAUUAAAACAAAUAUUUCGAGAUAUCCAUUUGUUUUUUGAUUGUAGAGACAGUUGGGAUCUAAUUAAUCCAAAAUAUAAUAAGAAAAAAAAACAAAUAUAAGAUCAAAUGCAGUUUAAAAAGUGACUUUUUUAGUUUCAUUUUUUCCUAUUUGAUUUACUUAGUUUGGCUUUUAGUUUACAAUCAGCCACGUAAUCAAAUCACUGAUUCCAUUGAUAUGUAAUAUUAUGUAUUUUAAAUUAAUCAACAACGAAGUAAUAUAAAAUAAAAAAAUAUAACCAUGAGAGAAAUUUAGCAUUUGAUUAUAUGGUUAAAUAUGUUUUUAACUUUUAAAUUUAAAUAUAAAAUUAAAAAUUGGAUUAUAUCUAAAUUAAAAUUUGAUCUUAAAUUUUAAAAAUAAAUAAAUAUAAUUUUUUAGUUAGAAUGCUUGAAAUAUUUUUUAUAUAUUACAUCUUAAAUUGAUGCUUGUAUUGAUUACAUAUCUACAUAUUCCGAAUCAAAUAAAAUUUUAAAAUACCAUUUAAUAUUAUAAAAAUAAUUGAUGCAAUUGAAUUAAAAAAAUUGUAUUACUUUAUUUUUUAAAGGAUUAAAUAUCUUCUGGGGCACUUUUGGUUUUAGUCCCUCUUUUAAACUAAGGUACAAUUUAGUCCUUCAACUUUAGAAAACUCUGGUUUUAGUUAUUUUUACCACAUUUUUUAACUUUAUUUGCGAUUUUAAACGCGUUUCUCAGUUAACAUUGAAGCAAAAAUGUGUCAAACAGUGCAAACAAUCCAAAUGCUAUAAUGAAACGUGCUUGAAACAGCAAAUAAAGUUAAAAAAAAAUUGAUAAAAAGGACUAAAAGCAGAUUUUCUAAAGUUGAAGGACUAAAUUGUACCUUAGUUUAAAAGAGGGACUAAAACCAAAAUCACCCCAAAAUAUAGGGACUAAAAACAUAUUUAACCCUUUUUUAAAUAUACAAAUCAAAAUAUAUUAAAAAAAUAUUUAACCAUGGGUUAUAUUAUAUACAUUUGUAUACUUAUCAAAACAUGAAAAGAAAAUUAUAUUAUAGAUUUCUAAUGACAAUAUUAUAUAAUUUAUUUAUGAUAUUAUAUAAUUUAUUUAUGAAUAGGAAAGCAACAUUAAAAUGAUAUAAUAAUAAAUAUAAAAGCAAAUUAUUUUCUCAAGAUUAAUUAAAAUAGUAAAAAGAACCAAAAAACAAAAAAUAUCCAAAAGUCAAAAUAUAUUUAACAAAAAUUUAGCCUAUUUAAAUUUUAUACUUAAUCAGAAUAUUUUUUUAACAAAAACAAUUAAGGUUAAAAUCAUCGGUUAGUCUUCACUUUUGUAUGGUAAUCUCAAUGGGAUCAUUUUUGCAACUGUCUCAAUUGGGUCAUAUUUUUUUUUGUAAAAAUGAGUCAAAUUUACCCUAACCGUUAAGUGUUCUCAGACGACGUUAAUUGGUGCUGAUGUAUUUAUACUAACAGUCAUUAAUACGCUUCUCGACCUCCAAGCCAAGUCCCACAUUGUCUUCUCCUCUUAACCUAACCUCCUUGACAACGCAUUCGUUUUCUUGAAAGUGUUUAGGAGAUAUUUAUCAAGUAAAAGCUCAAACAAAAUAAGACUGAACCUUAGAAACCAGAUCGAGAAGCCUGUUAGGUGGGGCUUCCACAUUUAGUGGUUGCUGAAGCAACAACACUUGCAGUCUAAAGAAAAAUUAGCAAGCAUUUUAUUUGCUUUAUAAAUAAAAAUGAAAAUGGAUUUAUAAGAUCAAUAAAUGCAUUCAUUCAGCAUGUUAGGUUACGUUUGAAGGAAGAUUGGGCUUGCCUGGGUGAGAUUAUUGUCCCGAAGAUGUGCGACGACGAGAGAAUUGAUGUUUCUGUAGAGUUUGCCAUCAAGCAUGGCCUAUUCUGAGUUACUACUAUCCAUUCCUGCAUAGAGAAAAUAUCCCUAAUUCGACAAAACCAAUAACCCUAAAAACUGAUCUAUUUGGUUAGUUCUCAAAUCGAAGGAGGAAAAGCUUAGUCAUGCUUACUUUGUUGUCGCCACUUUCAAAGGGUCUUCAAAAUUAAAAGAAAAUGAAAUUAUUUGCAAAUUUCAUUUGUUUCCAAAACGGACUCCAACUCAAACGCAAAAACCCUAUGAUUUUAGGGAUCUCACCACUGCACAAAAUUUUAUCAACCAGGAGACUUCAAAUGAAAUUAAUCAGCGAACAACGACUCCUGCAACGCGUCGAUGGAGGACAUGUAUGUUUCAGUGAAAACAUUUUUUUUCAGUGAAAAUAUUAUGACCCACAUUUCCAAAUACGAGGACCUACUUGAAAUUUCCAUACAAAUAUGAGGACCAUCGUGAGAAUUUAAACCAAAAAUUAACUUGUAGCAUAGUUCUCACUUUAGUCAACAUAUCUCAUAUCUCAAGUUACUUCCUUCUUUUAAAAAAAAAAUUAAUUGUAUCUUAAUUUUUCAAGAAAAUAUUUCAAUUGAGUUUUUUCUUAAAAAAUUACUAAGAGCCUUAUAAGUAUGUCAAGUGUUAAUAAAUGAUUUUUUUUAAAAUUUUUGUUUAUGUUACAUAACAAGUUUUUAGUAUGACACGAUAUACUAUUAAUGUUAUAUGGUAAGAUAUUUAGUGUUAAUGAUAAGUGUUUUGGUCUUCUCUAUAUUUGUCUUUUUAAUUUAAUUUAGUUUCGAUUUUUUUAUAAUGAACUAAUAUUCUCUUUUCCCAAGUUGAAACAAUUUUUUUUAACUUUAUGUUUUGUUAAUUAAUGUUUUUCUAUAAAAUUAAAACUAUUUAAGUACACAUAUUUUUAUAAAAAAUACAAGAACUUAAAUUAAUACAUUAUUAAUAUAUGUAUUCUAUUAAAGUAAAUUAAUUAAUACUAUUUAUAAAAGUAAUAAAUUUAAUCAUUUUUAAUUGAUACUAAAUUUUUUAUUUAUAUAAAAAUUAGACUCGUAUUUGUAAUAAAAUUUAAUAAUUGAAGUUCAUAUUAACAAAAGAAUUAGUUAAUAAUAUACAUAAUAAAUAUCAAUAUAAUUUUAUACAAAUAAUUAGUUAAUAAUAUACAUGAUAAAUAUCAAUAUAAUUUUAUAAUAAUACUAAAUUUUGUCUGAUAAACAAUAUUAUUUUACUUUAAUUAAAUUGGAAGUAAAACUAUAUUAAAGUAAAAACAAUGAAAUUCCAAACUAAUUCUAAUAUGUUUGAGAAUGUCAAUAUCAAACUAAAAACUUACAGGUAAUAACAAAAAGUUUAUAAUAAAUUUUUAAAAAAUAAUUUAAAAAUUAUAAAAAAUUAAAAAUUCACAUAUAGUAACCCGUGACCUUCCCUUAACGCCUUUAAUAAUUUUUUUCAAAAAAAAAAAAUAAUUGAAAUAAUUUUUCAAAAUUUAAAACAUAAUUAAAACUUUUUAAAAAAUUAGAACAUUUUAACACCCUCUCCCGAGGUGGUGGUGGGAACCAUCAAGAUGAACCGUACAAUUUCAAUUCACGUCUAGAAAUCAACCCAGCUUGCAAAAUUUGUUGGUUUAUGACAGAGUAAUGAUACACAUUUUCACCUCAGUUGCAUCCUCCAUCACCAUUAAACCAAGGCUUCACCUUUGUUUUAUCCAAUCUUGAAAGAAACAUACACUCCAUACUUUCUUCACAUGGCUUCCCAUAACCUCAAAAUCCAUGAACAGUGCACUGUUGCUCCUCCCUCUGCGCCCCAAACAACCCUCCCUUUCCUAUUCUUCGACCUGCUCUGGCUCAGGUUUCAUCCUGUAGAACGCAUCUUCUUCUAUUCCCUCCCUGUAACCCAUUCAAAUCCAUCCAUUUUCUUCACCCAAGUUGUUCCAAAGCUCAAAACGUCACUCUCUCACACCCUCCAACACUUUUCCCCUCUCGCCGGCAACGUCCUGUGGCCCUAUGGUUCUCCAAACCCCGUCAUUCAGUACAACCCAGGCGACGGUGUUUCAGUGGUGCUUGCAGAAUCCGAAGCCGACUUCGACCAUGCGUUGGACAACGCUCCUAAAGACGCAUCAGAGUCACGUUGUUUGGUGCCCCNNNN
RNAcentral lists this long non-coding RNA (14441 nucleotides) under Vigna radiata. RNAcentral describes it as "long non-coding RNA (VRAD_LNC003198)". The record is from RNAcentral. Lineage: Eukaryota; Viridiplantae; Streptophyta; Magnoliopsida; Fabales; Fabaceae.